RNAcentral lists this ribosomal RNA (1462 nucleotides) under Clostridium sp. Its description in RNAcentral is "bacterial SSU rRNA". It matches the Rfam family "Bacterial small subunit ribosomal RNA". Lineage: Bacteria; Bacillati; Bacillota; Clostridia; Eubacteriales; Clostridiaceae. The record is from RNAcentral.
UCAUUGGAGAGUUUGAUCCUGGCUCAGGACGAACGCUGGCGGCGUGCUUAACACAUGCAAGUCGAACGGAAAGGCCCCUUUGGGGGUACUCGAGUGGCGAACGGGUGAGUAACACGUGAGUAACCUGCCCUUGACUUCGGGAUAACUUCAGGAAACUGGGGCUAAUACCGGAUAGGAAUCCUUGCUGCAUGGUGGGGGUUGGAAAGCUUCGGCGGACGGGUAGCCGGCCUGAGAGGGCGACCGGCCACAUUGGGACUGAGAUACGGCCCAGACUCCUACGGGAGGCAGCAGUGGGGAAUAUUGCACAAUGGGCGGAAGCCUGAUGCAGCAACGCCGCGUGCGGGAUGACGGCCUUCGGGUUGUAAACCGCUUUCAGCAGGGGCGAAGCUUUUGUGACGGUACCUGCAGAAGAAGCACCGGCUAACUACGUGCCAGCAGCCGCGGUGAUACGUAGGGUGCGAGCGUUGUCCGGAUUUAUUGGGCGUAAAGAGCUCGUAGGUGGUUGAUUGCGUCGGAAGUGAAAACUUGGGGCUUAACCCUGAGCGUGCUUUCGAUACGGGUUGACUUGAGGAAGGUAGGGGAGAAUGGAAUUCCUGGUGGAGCGGUGGAAUGCGCAGAUAUCAGGAGGAACACCAGUGGCGAAGGCGGUUCUCUGGACCUUUCCUGACGCUGAGGAGCGAAAGCGUGGGGAGCGAACAGGCUUAGAUACCCUGGUAGUCCACGCUGUAAACGGUGGGUACUAGGUGUGGGGUCCAUUCCACGGAUUCCGUGCCGUAGCUAACGCAUUAAGUACCCCGCCUGGGGAGUACGGCCGCAAGGCUAAAACUCAAAGGAAUUGACGGGGCCCCGCACAAGCGGCGGAGCAUGCGGAUUAAUUCGAUGCAACGCGAAGAACCUUACCUGGGUUUGACAUGGACUGGGAGUGCUCAGAGAUGGGUAUGCCUCCUUGUGGGGCUGGUUCACAGGUGGUGCAUGGCUGUCGUCAGCUCGUGUCGUGAGAUGUUGGGUUAAGUCCCGCAACGAGCGCAACCCUCGUUCACUGUUGCCAGCACGUUAUGGUGGGGACUCAGUGGAGACCGCCGGGGUCAACUCGGAGGAAGGUGGGGAUGACGUCAAGUCAUCAUGCCCCUUAUGUCCAGGGCUUCACGCAUGCUACAAUGGCCGGUACAAAGAGUUGCGAGCCUGUGAGGGUGAGCGAAUCUCGGAAAGCCGGUCUCAGUUCGGAUUGGGGUCUGCAACUCGACCCUAUGAAGUCGGAGUCGCUAGUAAUCGCAGAUCAGCAACGCUGCGGUGAAUACGUUCCCGGGGCUUGUACACACCGCCCGUCAAGUCAUGAAAGUCGGUAACACCCGAAGCCGGUGGCCUAACCUGUGUGGGGGAGCCGUCGAAGGUGGGACUGGUAAUUAGGACUAAGUCGUAACAAGGUAGCCGUACCGGAAGGUGCGGCUGGAUCACCUCCUUU